GCGGGUGUCGUAUAGUGGUAUUACGUCUGCUUCCCAAGUAGAUAACAGGAGUUCAAUUCUCCUCACCCGCU
Molecule: transfer RNA, 71 nt
Filed under: Patescibacteria group bacterium
Lineage: Bacteria
Description: tRNA-Gly
Rfam family: tRNA
About the family: Transfer RNA (tRNA) molecules are approximately 80 nucleotides in length.
Source: RNAcentral